RNAcentral lists this ribosomal RNA (246 nucleotides) under uncultured bacterium. Its description in RNAcentral is "partial 16S ribosomal RNA". It matches the Rfam family "Bacterial small subunit ribosomal RNA", at positions 15 to 233 of the family's 1533-position model. The record is from RNAcentral.
GAUCAUGGCUCAGGAUGAACGCUGGCGGCGUGCUUAACACAUGCAAGUCGAACGAAGCACUUUAUUUGAUUUCCUUCGGGACGUGAUUAUUUUUGUUGACUGAGUGGCGGACGGGGUGGAGUAACGCGUGGGUAACCGUGCCUUGUACAGGGGGAGUAACAGUUGGAAACGGCUGCUAAUACCGCAUAAGCGCACGGCAUCGCAUGAUGCAGUGUGAAAAACUACCGGUGGUAUAAGAUGGACCCG